AAUGAGGAAGGCCCCGCUCCUCCUUCGAAGAGAUAGGAAAUGAGUCAAAUCGAAUUGGCUAUGAUGUUUGAGGAGAAGGUGGAGUCACUGUUCGAACCGACACAGCGACGAUUGGGAGAGCUACUCUCAAGGGCAGCACGAUGAUGACCUUCUGCACAUCAUCGAUCUUGAUCGGGUCUAUGCUGGUGGUCCUGACCAAUCUAGUAGGGGUAGGCAGAGCUGAGGCUGAUGAGGUUGUUGGCUUCACUCUCUUCAUCGAUGAACCCUCUCCCAAAUCAAAGGUCACCCUCUUCUUCUU
This 298-nucleotide long non-coding RNA is filed under the name Elaeis guineensis (African oil palm). Its description in RNAcentral is "long non-coding RNA (EGUI_LNC045903)". The record is from RNAcentral. Lineage: Eukaryota; Viridiplantae; Streptophyta; Magnoliopsida; Arecales; Arecaceae.